Struthio camelus australis is the source of this 2135-nucleotide non-coding RNA. The record is from RefSeq and is a predicted model, not a curated record. Lineage: Eukaryota; Metazoa; Chordata; Aves; Struthioniformes; Struthionidae.
GGGAGAGAGAAAUCAGGAUUUCAUGCAAAGUUCACUGUAAAUGAUGAAUCAUCAACAAGCUUUAGAUUCAACAUUUAGAUUGCUUUUUUUCCUUUUUUCGGUCUUUCGUUCUUCCAAAUGUCUUCGCUCUGGUAGCUUAUUUGAAAUUUUAUAAAUUAGUCUUCCAGAGAAUGUGCUUCUGGAUAUCUAGUGUUAGUGUUACCAUUCCUGAAUGCUGAUGUGAUUUUUGUUCCAUCUGUGCAGCAAUAACCAUUUUACAGAGGAGAAGGGAGGUCAGCAGCCGCUGUUGCAUCUUGAACCGUGGGUUGUUUUCUCUUUGAGUGCAGGUUGCCUGCAACCAUUGCAGAAGCACUGAAAAACUUUUCCAGUGAUUUUAAGGAAUUGGUGAAGUUUAGAUGUGCUACUGCGAAGAUAAAAGCAGAUUCUUCAGAGUCAGGAGUGAGAUUAAAUUGACCAGAUGAACAAAGACUACUACUACUGCUAUGGUAUCAAACAUAGGGACAGUUACCUAGCUCAAGAUGGGAGAGAUUCUUUAGGGUAUUUCAUAGAUACUCUUUAGAAAGAUCAAGGGAUCUAUUACAGCUCUUCAUUUUGUCAUUUAUGUAUACAAGCACUUCUGAGAAAAGUAAUUCAGGAACGACACAAUUUUAAGAACUGCAUCUAAUCAUUGUGCUGAAAUUGGAAUGAAUGAUGAUCUUUUCUUGAGAGCGUGGGAGGAAUGAAAUCAAAUGUUGCUAAUUAAUGCUGAAUCAGAUUAACACCAGCAGGUAAAUUGAUACCUAUAAAAAUGCAGCUGCGGCCAAUGAGGAGGAUUGGAGAACAAGAAGAACGAGCAGUCCAAGACACUCCCCUAAAAAUCUCAAAAGCAUUUCAGUGAUGUGUAACACGCCUGGCAAAAUAUGUGGUGCAGGAGAUCAAACAGGCUGUUUUCCAGCCAGCAACCAGUUGCCAUCUCAGCAGUCUUUUCGACUGCUGCUUCGCACUCCUGUGACCUGUGGUUUGAAGUGCAGACUGCUGUCUGCACACAUUUGCUACGUUGUUGUGUGCAAGCAAGUCAUGGCUAGGCAUAUUCCAACCCUAAUUUAACCUUGAAUUUAGAGGUAGAGAAGUAAAAAUAAGAAAGAGCCUGUAUUAUUGCUCUUUGUUGCAGUGUGUGAAAGCAUAGAAAGCAAAUAGAUUCACAGAGACUGGCUGAGAACAAUGAAACUCACUCUGCCUGGUAAGUUAUAUGAAGAUUAGUCAUUCUUAGCACGUGAGUUAAUGGUGCUAUUAACAGAAGAGAUUAUUAUUUAGAUUAAUGUACUGCUUCCUUUUCUUUCCUGUUUUAAUAAACAUUGUACACCAUCUUUGAACAUACAGAAGAAAGACUAAUCUAAUGUGGCAUCUUUGUCAUAUUAUAGUCAGAUGAUAUCAUAGUCUCUUCUCAUCACAAUCAUCUCUUGGUACUUUGGUUUGCUUUGUGCAUAAUUAAUUACCUUUGCAUUGAAAUGAGAAGUGUUAACAGCAUUAGAUGCUGUAUGAACAGCAAAGACAUGUCUAUGGUUAGUUAAGGGAGGGGGAGAUUAUUUUUAAUCUUUCUGUUAAUUUUUAUAAUGACUGGAAGAACAGAUUUUGAUAAAUGUGUGCGGAUCUAAAAGAGAAAUUAAGAUCAGCCUUGAGCAUAGAAGCUUCAGGCUUACAUAUGUGUGAGAGGCGUCUUGGCUCUCAGGUUUUCAGUAUGCAUGGAGACUAAAUUUAAAUAGCUUAGAGAUGAAGACACCCAUCCACUUGCAGAUGUCUGCACCGACAUAUGACAAACUGAAGAUAUUAUCUCCAGGAGGCCUACAAAGACUUGCUGCUUACAAGGAGAGAUGGAUAAGCAAAGUGAAUCUUUUCGGUGGCUCAAAAAAAAUCUCUUUCAUGAUCUUUUCUGUGUGACUUUGUUCUGAUGUGGCUGCCAGUGAUCUCUGUAAUGUGACUCUGACUCUGAGAGAAAUACCUUAUUUAUGUUUGUAGUUUAUUCAUUUGUGUUUAUUAACACUGAAAUGGUAGCAAAGGUGAAAAGAUGUCAGUUUUCUCUAAGUUGUAGCUACUUCACUGGAAAAUGCUGAAUGGAGACGAAGAAAUAAAAUCUCAGAAGUAAUAAAGAACAGCUU